GUGCUCGCUUUGGCAGCACAUAUACUAAAAUUGGAAUCAUACAGAGAAGAUGGCCCUAGUGCAAGGAUGACGUGUAAAUUUGUCUGGCAUUCCAUAUUUUU
RNAcentral lists this small nuclear RNA (101 nucleotides) under Echinops telfairi (small Madagascar hedgehog). The record is from RNAcentral. Lineage: Eukaryota; Metazoa; Chordata; Mammalia; Afrosoricida; Tenrecidae.